GGAGGAAAAGAAACCAACCGGGAUUGCCUUAGUAACGGCGAGUGAAGCGGCAAAAGCUCAAAUUUGAAAUCUGGUACCUUCGGUGCCCGAGUUGUAAUUUGGAGAGGGCAACUUUGGGGCCGUUCCUUGUCUAUGUUCCUUGGAACAGGACGUCAUAGAGGGUGAGAAUCCCGUGUGGCGAGGAGUGCGGUUCUUUGUAAAGUGCCUUCGAAGAGUCGAGUUGUUUGGGAAUGCAGCUCUAAGUGGGUGGUAAAUUCCAUCUAAAGCUAAAUAUUGGCGAGAGACCGAUAGCGAACAAGUACAGUGAUGGAAAGAUGAAAAGAACUUUGAAAAGAGAGUGAAAAAGUACGUGAAAUUGUUGAAAGGGAAGGGCAUUUGAUCAGACAUGGUGUUUUGUGCCCUCUGCUCCUUGUGGGUAGGGGAAUCUCGCAUUUCACUGGGCCAGCAUCAGUUUUGGUGGCAGGAUAAAUCCAUAGGAAUGUAGCUUGCCUCGGUAAGUAUUAUAGCCUGUGGGAAUACUGCCAGCUGGGACUGAGGACUGCGACGUAAGUCAAGGAUGCUGGCAUAAUGGUUAUAUGCCGCCCGUCUGAAA
This 592-nucleotide ribosomal RNA is filed under the name Saccharomyces cerevisiae (brewer's yeast). RNAcentral describes it as "eukaryotic LSU rRNA". It matches the Rfam family "Eukaryotic large subunit ribosomal RNA", at positions 52 to 658 of the family's 3401-position model. Lineage: Eukaryota; Fungi; Ascomycota; Saccharomycetes; Saccharomycetales; Saccharomycetaceae. The record is from RNAcentral.